Molecule: small RNA, 286 nt
Filed under: Halomicronema hongdechloris C2206
Lineage: Bacteria; Bacillati; Cyanobacteriota; Cyanophyceae; Nodosilineales; Nodosilineaceae
Description: 5' ureB small RNA
Rfam family: 5' ureB small RNA
Source: Rfam by way of RNAcentral
CGGUUUCAAUCUGCUGAGGAGAGAUGAAGUGAAUGUGGGCAUCGAUGCCGCCGGCGGUGACGACCAUGCCUUCGCCGGCCACGGCUUCGGUGGCAGGGCCGAUGAUGAUGUCGACAUUGUCCUGGAUGUAGGGGUUGCCAGCCUUGCCGAUCUUGUGGAUCUUGCCGUCUUUAAUGCCGAUGUCGGCCUUGACGAUGCCCCACCAAUCCAAGAUGAGAGCAUUGGUAAUCACCAUGUCGACGGCUCCCUCGGCCCGGGAAAUGGGGGAUUGGCCCAUGCCGUCCCG